GUCCACGCAGUAAACGAUGAUAGCUCGUUGUCGGCGAUACACAGUCGGUGACUAAGAGAAAUCGAUAAGCUAUCCACCUGGGGAGUACGUUCGCAAGAAUGAAACUCAAAGGAAUUGACGGGGGGCCCGCACAAGCGGAGGAACAUGUGGUUUAAUUCGAUGAUACGCGAGGAACCUUACCCGGGCUUGAAAGUUAUUGACGGAUCUGGAAACAGAUCUUCCCUUCGGGGCAAGAAACUAGGUGCUGCAUGGUUGUCGU
RNAcentral lists this ribosomal RNA (259 nucleotides) under uncultured bacterium. RNAcentral's name for it is "partial 16S ribosomal RNA". It matches the Rfam family "Bacterial small subunit ribosomal RNA", at positions 793 to 1055 of the family's 1533-position model. The record is from RNAcentral.